This 253-nucleotide ribosomal RNA is filed under the name uncultured bacterium. Its description in RNAcentral is "partial 16S ribosomal RNA". It matches the Rfam family "Bacterial small subunit ribosomal RNA", at positions 524 to 776 of the family's 1533-position model. The record is from RNAcentral.
UACGUAGGGCGCAAGCGUUGUCCGGAAUUACUGGGCGUAAAGGGCGCGUAGGCGGCCUUCUAAGUCGAACGUGAAAUCCCCGGGCUCAACCCGGGAACUGCGUCCGAUACUGGAAGGCUUGAAUCCGGGAGAGGGAUGCGGAAUUCCAGGUGUAGCGGUGAAAUGCGUAGAUAUCUGGAGGAACACCGGUGGCGAAGGCGGCAUCCUGGACCGGUAUUGACGCUGAGGCGCGAAAGCCAGGGGAGCAAACGGG